RNAcentral lists this ribosomal RNA (468 nucleotides) under uncultured bacterium. Its description in RNAcentral is "partial 16S ribosomal RNA". It matches the Rfam family "Bacterial small subunit ribosomal RNA", at positions 28 to 507 of the family's 1533-position model. The record is from RNAcentral.
GACGAACGCUGGCGGCGUGCUUAACACAUGCAAGUCGAACGGCAAGGCCCUGCUUUUGUGGGGUGCUCGAGUGGCGAACGGGUGAGUAACACGUGAGUAACCUGCCCUUGACUUUGGGAUAACUUCAGGAAACUGGGGCUAAUACCGGAUAGGAGCUCCUGCUGCAUGGUGGGGGUUGGAAAGUUUCGGCGGUUGGGGAUGGACUCGCGGCUUAUCAGCUUGUUGGUGGGGUAGUGGCUUACCAAGGCUUUGACGGGUAGCCGGCCUGAGAGGGUGACCGGCCACAUUGGGACUGAGAGACGGCCCAGACUCCUACGGGAGGCAGCAGUGGGGAAUAUGGCACAAUGGGCGGAAGCCUGUUGCAGCAACGCCGCGUGCGGGAUGACGGCCUUCGGGUUGUAAACCGCUGUCGCCUGUGACGAAGCGUGAGUGACGGUAAUGGGUAAAGAAGCACCGGCUAACUACGUG